UACGGAGGGUGCGAGCGUUGUCCGGAAUCAUUGGGCGUAAAGGGCGCGUAGGCGGCCCGGUCAGCGUGCGGUGAAAGCUCGGGGCUCAACCCCGAGUCGGCCGUGCGAACUGCUGGGCUUGAGCACUGUAGAGGCAGGCGGAAUUCCGGGUGUAGCGGUGGAAUGCGUAGAGAUCCGGAAGAACACCGGUGGCGAAGGCGGCCUGCUGGGGCAUUCUUGACGCUGAGGCGCGAAAGCUGGGGGAGCAAACGGG
This 253-nucleotide ribosomal RNA is filed under the name uncultured bacterium. RNAcentral describes it as "partial 16S ribosomal RNA". It matches the Rfam family "Bacterial small subunit ribosomal RNA", at positions 524 to 776 of the family's 1533-position model. The record is from RNAcentral.